GCGAGGAUGGCGGAAUAGGCAGACGCACGGGACUUAAAAUCCCGAAUUGGCAACAAUGUGAGGGUUCAAGUCCCUCUCCUCGCACCA
This 87-nucleotide transfer RNA is filed under the name Christensenellaceae bacterium. Its description in RNAcentral is "tRNA-Leu". It matches the Rfam family "tRNA". Rfam says of the family: Transfer RNA (tRNA) molecules are approximately 80 nucleotides in length. Their secondary structure includes four short double-helical elements and three loops (D, anti-codon, and T loops). The record is from RNAcentral. Lineage: Bacteria; Bacillati; Bacillota; Clostridia; Christensenellales; Christensenellaceae.